Long non-coding RNA from Perca fluviatilis (European perch), 477 nucleotides. RefSeq lists it as uncharacterized. The record is from RefSeq and is a predicted model, not a curated record. The transcript has 4 exons. NCBI's taxonomy places the organism in Eukaryota, Metazoa, Chordata, Actinopteri, Perciformes, Percidae.
UUGAAAUUACAAACCAUCUUGAGGUAUUGAUGUUCAUUUUGUCACGUGGCCGGCAGCACCAGAAGUGGAUCAGACCUCCAAAACGUCAGGAGAGGAGCUGAUGGAGUGACUGCAGCAGUGCCAUAAAAAGCGCCAUGAUGUCAACCUGAUGCUCCACACUGUCACUCAAGCUUGGCAAGGAGUCUGUGACGUAUGAAAAUUAGAUUUUCUUCAUCAAGAAGUUGCGUGCUCCAGCUGACUCAAGCAAUGAUUUUGACAGGGUGACAAUGCAGUGUACAUAUCCUCUGGCUGGACUAAUCUCAGUAUUCAGGUAUGAGUCUGACUCAGCUGGUGUCGGCCGUAUUGUGCAUUCUGCACACUCCACUGAAGGGUAACGGUGGAGUGGGAUGCUGAUCGCAGGGACUUUGCAGACCUGAGAGGAGGUGGAAGUCUCUUUGCCGCCAGCUGUGAGGCUUAUGGACCCUGGGCUUGUAAGAG